GUACGCUGGCGGCACGCCUUAUACAUGCAAGUCGAACGAAGUAGCAAUACUUAGUGGCAGACGGGUGAGUAACAUGUAGGUAUCUGCCCUUUGGCCUGGAAUAACACGAGGAAACUUGUGCUAAUACCGGCCAAGUCUUUACGGAGAAAGCUUUAUGCACCAUUGGAUGAGCCUGCACUUGAUUAGUUUGUUGGUGGGGUAAUGGCCUACCAAGACAAUGAUCAAUAGCUGAUUUGAGAGGAUGAUCAGCCACAUUGGAACUGAGACACGGUCCAAACUCCUACAGGAGGCAGCAGUAGGGAAUCUUGCACAAUGGAGGAAACUCUGAUGCAGCGAUGCCGCGUGAGUGAAGAAGGCCUUUGGGUUGUAAAGCUCUUUCGUCGGGGAAGAAAAUGACUGUACCCGAAUAAGAAGGUCCGGCUAACUUCGUGCCAGCAGCCGCGGUAAUACGAAGGGACCUAGCGUAGUUCGGAAUUACUGGGCUUAAAGAGUUCGUAGGUGGUUAAAAAAGUUGGUGGUGAAAUCCCAGAGCUUAACUCUGGAACUGCCAUCAAAACUUUUUAGCUAGAGUAUGAUAGAGGAAAGCAGAAUUUCUAGUGUAGAGGUGAAAUUCGUAGAUAUUAGAAAGAAUACCGAUUGCGAAGGCAGCUUUCUGGAUCAUUACUGACACUGAGGAACGAAAGCAUGGGUAGCGAAGAGGAUUAGAUACCCUCGUAGUCCAUGCCGUAAACGAUGUGUGUUAGACGUUGGAAAUUUUAUUUUCAGUGUCGCAGCGAAAGCAAUAAACACACCGCCUGGGGAGUACGACCGCAGGUUAAACUCAAAUGAAUUGACGGGGACCGCACAAGUAGUGGAGCAUGUGGUUUAAU
RNAcentral lists this ribosomal RNA (869 nucleotides) under uncultured bacterium. RNAcentral describes it as "bacterial SSU rRNA". It matches the Rfam family "Bacterial small subunit ribosomal RNA", at positions 31 to 950 of the family's 1533-position model. The record is from RNAcentral.